CCAAAGCCACAUCCUUUGUUUCUGCAGUCGACAUAUUAGGUAUGUUUUCCCUAGUUGUUUUCACAUUAAUUACAUUUUCGGAUACCUUCAAACGUACAGUUGAUACCUUCGUAUCAGACUCUUUAUUAACAGUUUCUUCAUGCUUGCCCUCAGUUUUUGGCGACGGAGUAUCUACUGCCAGAGUUUCCCCUGAUACACACGGAGUAGAGUCUUUCACUUUUGACUCAGUUGUUUCCGAGGUUCUUGACUGUCCAGUGGGCAAGGAUUCCUGUAAAGUGCUUUUUACUUCUUCUUCUGGUCGUUGUGAUUUAGCUGGUGGUUUUGAUACCACUGGACUCUUCUGAAUGGUCUGGACGUCCGUUGGAGAGAGAAAGGCACUGAAGAAAUUUUCAGAUUCAUCUACCACAGUUCUCCGAACUGGCUUUGUUAUUGCUUUAGGAGAGGCUACAGGCUGACUCUGAGGUUCACUGUUUGAUUUUAACCCCCAGGUUGAAGUAUCCCAUCCUCCACUGACAGGGAGACUUAUUCCU
RNAcentral lists this long non-coding RNA (530 nucleotides) under Lynx pardinus (Iberian lynx). Lineage: Eukaryota; Metazoa; Chordata; Mammalia; Carnivora; Felidae. The record is from RNAcentral.